Molecule: ribosomal RNA, 405 nt
Filed under: uncultured bacterium
Lineage: Bacteria
Description: partial 16S ribosomal RNA
Rfam family: Bacterial small subunit ribosomal RNA
Source: RNAcentral
AUUGAACGCUGGCGGCAGGCCUAACACAUGCAAGUCGAGCGAAGCGGGGACGGGUGAGUAACACGUGGAUAACCUCCUAUAAGACUGUGGUAACUUCGGGAAACCGGAGCUAAACCGGCUCCUUAUCUAUGGAUCCGCGCUGCAUUAGCUAGUUGGUAAGGUAACGGCUUACCAAGGCAACGAUGCCUAGCCGACCUGAGAGGGUGAUCGGCCACACUGGAACUGAGAAACGGUCCAGACUCCGACGGGAGGCAGCAGUAGGGAAUCUUCCGCAAUGGGCGAAAGCCUGACGGAGCAACGCCGCGUGAGUGAUGAAGGUCUUCGGAUCGGAAAACUCUGUUAUUAGGGAAGCGGUACCUAAUCAGAAAGCCACGGCUAACUACGUGCCAGCAGCCGCGGUAAUAC